AUGCCUCACGAAAAUGAUAAAGAUAUCUGGGCAUGCCUGUUAAAAGUCAUUUUUCAAAAAAGUGAGAUUUUAACUGUGGGGGGAGAUGAUGCUGUGAUUAAGCAAUAUGCCAACCUCUUCAAUUGUGAUAUAGGCAGCUUUCCCAUCAGAUAUCUGGGCAUGCUUGUUAGUUAUACCACCCUCAGAAACUCUGAUCGGGAGUUCAUUGUCUGCAAAUAUCUAAAAAGAUUUGAAGCUUGGGUGGGUAAUGCUGCCUCCAUGGGAGGGAGGCACACUCUAUUAGACUCUGUUGUCACCCAGAUAUCACUGUACCAUAUGUCUAUGUGGCUGAUGAACAAAACAUUCAUUGAAAGAUUGGAUAAGCAUAGAAGAAGAUUCUUCUGGCAAGGGUGUAACAAGAAAAAGAGAUAUUAUGUUGUGAAAUGGAGCAGAAUCUGCAGUCCAAAGAGAAGGGCGGUCUGGGGAUUAAGGAUCCGCACAAACAGAACAUUAGUCUGA
Molecule: ribosomal RNA, 498 nt
Filed under: Triticum aestivum (bread wheat)
Lineage: Eukaryota; Viridiplantae; Streptophyta; Magnoliopsida; Poales; Poaceae
Description: partial small subunit ribosomal RNA
Source: RNAcentral